AUGAAGGAUUUACAGCAACUAAUGAGAGAAGGGGCUCAAAUAUUAUUUCGGGUUGGGCUUUUGCAAUUGGUUUAAACAACUCAAUGGCAAGUUGGAUUUUAGUAUCAAGAGACGUUAACUUCUCUAGCUCAAUGUCGGGCUCUAGAAUUGUAAGUUUGCUUAAUGGGUUGGAGUUAGAAGGAGGUCUGGAUGGGCUUAAAGUAG
Molecule: unclassified non-coding RNA, 204 nt
Filed under: Hevea brasiliensis (rubber tree)
Lineage: Eukaryota; Viridiplantae; Streptophyta; Magnoliopsida; Malpighiales; Euphorbiaceae
Source: RNAcentral